GCAGUCGAGGGGUAUAGGUUUUCGGACCUAGAGACCGGCGCACGGGUGCGUAACGCGUAUGCAAUCUACCUUUUACAGAGGGAUAGCCCAGAGAAAUUUGGAUUAAUACCUCAUAGCAUUAUGAAGUGGCAUCACUUUAUAAUUAAAGUCACAACGGUAAAAGAUGAGCAUGCGUCCCAUUAGCUAGUUGGUAAGGUAACGGCUUACCAAGGCAACGAUGGGUAGGGGUCCUGAGAGGGAGAUCCCCCACACUGGUACUGAGACACGGACCAGACUCCUACGGGAGGCAGCAGUGAGGAAUAUUGGUCAAUGGGCGCAAGCCUGAACCAGCCAUGCCGCGUGCAGGAUGAAGCAUCUAUGGUGUGUAAACUGCUUUUGUACGAGAAGAAACACUCCUACGUGUAGGAGCUUGACGGUAUCGUAAGAAUAAGGACCGGCUAACUCCGUGCCAGCAGCCGCGGUAAUACGGAGGGUCCAAGCGUUAUCCGGAAUCAUUGGGUUUAAAGGGUCCGUAGGCGGUUUUGUAAGUCAGUGGUGAAAGCCCAUCGCUCAACGGUGGAACGGCCAUUGAUACUGCAAGACUUGAAUUAUUAGGAAGUAACUAGAAUAUGUAGUGUAGCGGUGAAAUGCUUAGAUAUUACAUGGAAUACCAAUUGCGAAGGCAGGUUACUACUAAUAUAUUGACGCUGAUGGACGAAAGCGUGGGG
This 707-nucleotide ribosomal RNA is filed under the name uncultured bacterium. RNAcentral describes it as "bacterial SSU rRNA". It matches the Rfam family "Bacterial small subunit ribosomal RNA", at positions 57 to 766 of the family's 1533-position model. The record is from RNAcentral.